Molecule: ribosomal RNA, 656 nt
Filed under: Clostridioides difficile
Lineage: Bacteria; Bacillati; Bacillota; Clostridia; Peptostreptococcales; Peptostreptococcaceae
Description: bacterial LSU rRNA
Rfam family: Bacterial large subunit ribosomal RNA
Source: RNAcentral
UGGUCAAGUUAUUAAGGGUGCAGGGCGGAUGCCUUGGCACUAGGAGCCGAUGAAGGACGUGAUAAGCUGCGAUAAGCUUCGGGGAGUUGCACGUAAACUUUGAUCCGAAGAUUUCCGAAUGAGGAAACUCACUUAGAGUAAUGUCUAAGUAUCAUUAAGUGAAUACAUAGCUUAAUGAGGGGAACUCAGGGAACUGAAACAUCUAAGUACCUGAAGGAAGAGAAAGAAAUUCGAUUCCGUAAGUAGCGGCGAGCGAACGCGGAUUAGCCCAAACCAAUAAAGUUUUCUUUAUUGGGGUUGCGGACAUAUCAUAACGAAGAGGUAUCGUAAUUGAAGAGGUUUGGAAAGACCCACCACAGAAGGUAAUAGUCCUGUAUGUUAAACGAGAAGACUUUAGAUAUGAUCCAGAGUACCACGGGACACGUGAAACCCUGUGGGAAGCAGGAGGGACCACCCUCCAAGGCUAAAUACUACCUAGUGACCGAUAGCGUAUAGUACCGUGAGGGAAAGGUGAAAAGACCCCCGGGAGGGGAGUGAAAUAGAACCUGAACCCCUGCACUUCCAAGCUGUGGAAGCCCAUUUCUUCUGUGACCGCGUACUUUUUUUAGAACGGGCCAACGAGUUACGUUAAGUAGCAAGGUUAAGCACUUAAGGUG